CCCACGGGUGGCAGCAGUGGGGAAUAUUGGACAAUGGGGGGAACCCUGAUCCAGCCAUGCCGCGUGUGUGAAGAAGGCCCUCGGGUUGUAAAGCACUUUCAGUGAGGAAGAACGCCUGGUGGUUAAUACCCAUCAGGAAAGACAUCACUCACAGAAGAAGCACCGGCUAACUCCGUGCCAGCAGCCGCGGUAAUACGGAGGGUGCGAGCGUUAAUCGGAAUUACUGGGCGUAAAGCGCGCGUAGGUGGCUUGAUAAGCCGGUUGUGAAAGCCCCGGGCUCAACCUGGGAACGGCAUCCGGAACUGUCAAGCUAGUGUGCAGGAGAGGAAGGUAGAAUUCCCGGUGUAGCGGUGAAAUGCGUAGAGAUCGGGAGGAAUACCAGUGGCGAAGGCGGCCUUCUGGACUGACACUGACACUGAGGUGCGAAAGCGUGGGUAGCAAACAGGAUUAGAUACCCGAGUAGUC
Molecule: ribosomal RNA, 465 nt
Filed under: Vreelandella stevensii
Lineage: Bacteria; Pseudomonadati; Pseudomonadota; Gammaproteobacteria; Oceanospirillales; Halomonadaceae
Description: partial 16S ribosomal RNA
Rfam family: Bacterial small subunit ribosomal RNA
Source: RNAcentral